RNAcentral lists this ribosomal RNA (304 nucleotides) under uncultured bacterium. RNAcentral describes it as "partial 16S ribosomal RNA". It matches the Rfam family "Bacterial small subunit ribosomal RNA", at positions 506 to 807 of the family's 1533-position model. The record is from RNAcentral.
CAGCAGCCGCCGCGGUAAAACAGAGGGUGCGAGCGUUAAUCGGAUUUACUGGGCGUAAAGCGUGCGUAGGCGGCUUCUUAAGUCGGAUGUGAAAUCCCUGAGCUUAACUUAGGAAUUGCAUUCGAUACUGGGAAGCUAGAGUAUGGGAGAGGAUGGUAGAAUUCCAGGUGUAGCGGUGAAAUGCGUAGAGAUCUGGAGGAAUACCGAUGGCGAAGGCAGCCAUCUGGCCUAAUACUGACGCUGAGGUACGAAAGCAUGGGGAGCAAACAGGAUUAGAUACCCCUGUAGUCCCUGUCUCUUAUAC